Molecule: long non-coding RNA, 1875 nt
Organism: Lagopus muta (rock ptarmigan)
Lineage: Eukaryota; Metazoa; Chordata; Aves; Galliformes; Phasianidae
Exons: 4
Source: RefSeq, a predicted model, not a curated record
UUUUGCAGUGUUUAGGAUGAAUGCUUAUUAAGCUUAUCAUGAUCCUGAGGCAUCAGCUCAACAAGAUACCCAAACUUGUGCUUCAUUCUUAUCAUAACAGCUUAUGAAGGAACUACUUGCAGCUUUGGCAUUGUCUCAGGAAUGGUGUUGUUUUGAGCCCAGAUUUGCCACUCAUUCAGAAAUCAUGGGUUUGCACCUCUCUGCCAUUCAGGAUGUGAACUAAACAAUCAAGAUAUAUUUUUAAAGAUGAGUCCUGAGUUCUUUGCUGGAAAUUGACAGAAGAAAGCAGUGAGAGGGAUCCCAAGUCCCUUCCUGAGAAGGAGAAAUAGGCCACGUUCCCACCAGCAGCACUCCAUGCCCAAGCCCCUGGCACCCCACUGCCAAUGCACCUCUUACUUAUGGAGAAGGAGCCUGGUGUGGGCUGGGCAGGAGGAGAUGGAGCUUCAGUAAAAAGGCACAACUUCUGGAGAGUGAGAAUGGGGAGAGGUCCUGAUUGCACCCACAGCCAGGAAUUCUUUCUUCUGUUGUGCCAACUGCUCUGUGAUGAAGAUACUCUGUGAAAUGUGACAAGUGACUUUUUUACUCCCUAGAUGUCUUCCCCCAUAUAGAGUUAGAGCUUUUUUACACUUGUGGAGUCUUACCUUUCAUUUACAGGAUAGCCUCAGUCCACCUCUGCUACUGCACAGGCUGAGGAUUUUCAUAGCCCUGGCUCCAGCGUACAUCAGCCUCCUCCCCUCUCAGGCGCUACUCAGUGUGCAACAUUUCUCUAUUGAAAAAAGCCUUUCCUGUUCUCUGAGCUGCUUUUCUAUCUCAUUACACACAGACCAUCGAUUAAGCAACAGUGGCACUCAGGAAAAGGCGAAGUGGCUCGGAAGUAAUUGAUCUCCAUUCAGUCUUUGUGGAAGAAGUCAUAAUCUAUAGUGGUGAUGUAUCUGUCCUCCCAUGCAUUUCUUUUUGCAGGGAAACACAAAACUGCUCACAAUUUUAGGACUUGUGCAUUUCAGAAUGUGUUUGAAAAACAGCUUCUUGUCUGAUUAAAAAUAAUGAAAUUGUUGCUAAGCUACAGAAUAUGAAAUUUUGGAACAUCAAAUUCAAUUUCUGAGAAAGAGUCCUGUUUCUUCAAGCAGAGCCAUUUUCACAUGGUAGGUGUCUUAUGCACAUACAUUCUAGGCUAUUUCUUUGCCGUUUCUCAGCUGUGUUAGGGCUGAGCAGGGAUGACCACAUUACAAUGCUGUUGUGGCAUUUUGGUCCAAUCUGCUGUAAUGUCACUGCAUGGGGAAAUCCUCUGAGGUCUGUGUCAGAGUACAGUGAUGGAUGGAUGUAUUGGCUCAUUCUGAAUGUUCUUGAGCUGGACCCAUUGGAAGGGAGCUUAGUGUCAGUGUCGAGUGGUGGGAUGGUAAGAAGGCUUUUGUGACACUGAAAACCUUUGUGGCAAUUACAGAGAGAAAGUGAAGAUGUGGUAACAGGGCAGGAUGCAAGGAUGAGUACAGGGAAGGCAAGGUCUGAGCAGAGACAUCAGUGCUGGGGAAUGGUCUGAGAGGGUCAUGAGAAGAACAGUAAAGUACUCACUAAAAUAUCAGAUGCUUCAGGAAUAAAAACAAAAACAAAUUGUAUAAAGAUCUAAUAUUUGGGAAUUCAGUAUUUGCUGUAUGAUGCAACCUGGAAAUCACAGGCCAGUAUGUAGCAGGGCUGUGUGAACUUAACACUGGGAUGAGCUUUUCUGCGAUAUUAAUGGUUCAGGCACUGUGAACUGCUAUUUGGGCACUUGAAUCCUUCAGUGAGCACAGGUCCUCUCUUCAGCUACGUGGGCUCUCCUGGUGCUAUUUGGAAGCUGUUGAUCCCAGAUACUGAAAGUGAGAUGCAUGUACAGACUGC